This 720-nucleotide ribosomal RNA is filed under the name uncultured Staphylococcus sp. RNAcentral describes it as "bacterial SSU rRNA". It matches the Rfam family "Bacterial small subunit ribosomal RNA", at positions 57 to 759 of the family's 1533-position model. Lineage: Bacteria; Bacillati; Bacillota; Bacilli; Caryophanales; Staphylococcaceae. The record is from RNAcentral.
GCAAGUCGAGCGAACGGACGAGAAGCUUGCUUCUCUGAUGUUAGCGGCGGACGGGUGAGUAACACGUGGAUAACCUACCUAUAAGACUGGGAUAACUUCGGGAAACCGGAGCUAAUACCGGAUAAUAUUUUGAACCGCAUGGUUCAAAAGUAAAAGACGGUCUUGCUGUCACUUAUAGAUGGAUCCGCGCUGCAUUAGCUAGUUGGUAAGGUAACGGCUUACCAAGGCAACGAUGCAUAGCCGACCUGAGAGGGUGAUCGGCCACACUGGAACUGAGACACGGUCCAGACUCCUACGGGAGGCAGCAGUAGGGAAUCUUCCGCAAUGGGCGAAAGCCUGACGGAGCAACGCCGCGUGAGUGAUGAAGGUCUUCGGAUCGUAAAACUCUGUUAUUAGGGAAGAACAUAUGUGUAAGUAACUGUGCACAUCUUGACGGUACCUAAUCAGAAAGCCACGGCUAACUACGUGCCAGCAGCCGCGGUAAUACGUAGGUGGCAAGCGUUAUCCGGAAUUAUUGGGCGUAAAGCGCGCGUAGGCGGUUUUUUAAGUCUGAUGUGAAAGCCCACGGCUCAACCGUGGAGGGUCAUUGGAAACUGGAAAACUUGAGUGCGGAAGAGGAAAGUGGAAUUCCAUGUGUAGCGGUGAAAUGCGCAGAGAUAUGGAGGAACACCAGUGGCGAAGGCGACUUUCUGGUCUGUAACUGACGCUGAUGUGCGAAAG